This 489-nucleotide ribosomal RNA is filed under the name uncultured bacterium. RNAcentral's name for it is "partial 16S ribosomal RNA". It matches the Rfam family "Bacterial small subunit ribosomal RNA", at positions 30 to 507 of the family's 1533-position model. The record is from RNAcentral.
UUGCACGCUGGCGGCAGGCCUAACACAUGCCAGUCGAACGGUAACAGGAAGCAGCUUGCUGCUUCGCUGACGAGUGGCGGACGGGUGAGUAAUGUCUGGGAAACUGCCUGACGGAGGGGGAUAACUACUGGAAACGGUAGCUAAUACCGCAUAACGUCGCAAGACCAAAGAGGGGGACCUUAGGGCCUCUUGCCAUCGGAUGUGCCCAGAUGGGAUUAGCUAGUAGGUGGGGUAACGGCUCACCUAGGCGACGAUCCCUAGCUGGUCUGAGAGGAUGACCAGCCACACUGGAACUGAGACACGGUCCAGACUCCUACGGGAGGCAGCAGUGGGGAAUAUUGCACAAUGGGCGCAAGCCUGAUGCAGCCAUGCCGCGUGUAUGAAGAAGGCCUUCGGGUUGUAAAGUACUUUCAGCGGGGAGGAAGGGAGUAAAGUUAAUACCUUUGCUCAUUGACGUUACCCGCAGAAGAAGCACCGGCUAACUCCGUG